RNAcentral lists this ribosomal RNA (465 nucleotides) under uncultured bacterium. RNAcentral's name for it is "partial 16S ribosomal RNA". It matches the Rfam family "Bacterial small subunit ribosomal RNA", at positions 338 to 795 of the family's 1533-position model. The record is from RNAcentral.
CCUACGGGAGGCAGCAGUGGGGAAUAUUGCGCCAUGGGCGAAAGCCUGACGCAGCGACGCCGCGUGAGGGAUGAAGGUCUUCGGAUCGUAAACCUCUGUCAGCAGGGAAGAACGGUCACUGUGCUAAUCAGCAGUGAAUUGACGGUACCUGCAAAGGAAGCACCGGCUAACUCCGUCCCAGCAGCCGCGGUAAUACGGAGGGUGCGAGCGUUAAUCGGAUUUACUGGGCGUAACGCGCUCGUAGGCGGUAUGUCACGUCAAGGGUGAAAUCCCCGCGCUCAACGUGGGAACUGCCUUUGAAACGGGCAAACUGGAGUGUGGGAGAGGAUAGUGGAAUUCCAGGUGUAGGAGUGAAAUCCGGAGAUAUCUGGAGGAACAUCAGUGGCGAAGGCGACUAUCUGGCACAUAACUGACGCUGAGGAGCGAAAGCGUGGGUAGCAAACAGGAUUAGAUACCCUAGUAGUC